AUGAACGCUGGCGGCGUGCUUAAUACAUGCAAGUCGAACGAAGAGCCCUUAACCGAAGAUGAUGACGUGCUUGCACUGAAUCUGAUUCACCUUAGGGUACUGAGUGGCGGACGGGUGAGUAACGCGUGGGUAACCUGCCUUAGACAGGGGGAUAACAUCAAGAAAUUGGUGCUAAUACCGCAUAUGCUCACAGUAUCGCAUGAUACAGUGAGGAAAACUCCGGUGGUCUAAGAUGGACCCGCGUCUGAUUAGCUAGUUGGAGGGGUAACGGCCCACCAAGGCGACGAUCAGUAGCCGACUUGAGAGAGUGAUCGGCCACAUUGGGACUGAGACACGGCCCAAACUCCUACGGGAGGCAGCAGUAGGGAAUAUUGCACAAUGGGGGGAACCCUGAUGCAGCGACGCCGCGUGAAGGAUGAAGUAUUUCGGUAUGUAAACUUCUAUCAGCAAGGAAGAAAAUGACGGUACUUGACUAAGAAGCCCCGGCUAAAUACGUGCCAGCCGCCGC
Molecule: ribosomal RNA, 508 nt
Filed under: uncultured bacterium
Lineage: Bacteria
Description: bacterial SSU rRNA
Rfam family: Bacterial small subunit ribosomal RNA
Source: RNAcentral